This 254-nucleotide ribosomal RNA is filed under the name uncultured bacterium. Its description in RNAcentral is "partial 16S ribosomal RNA". It matches the Rfam family "Bacterial small subunit ribosomal RNA", at positions 524 to 776 of the family's 1533-position model. The record is from RNAcentral.
UACGAAGGGGGGCUAGCGUUGCUCGGAAUCACUGGGCGUAAAGCGCACGUAGGCGGAUCUUUAAGUCAGGGGUGAAAUCCUGGAGCUCAACUCCAGAACUGCCUUUGAUACUGAGGAUCUUGAGUCCGGGAGAGGUGAGUGGAACUCCGAGUGUAGAGGUGAAAUUCGUAGAUAUUCGGAAGAACACCAGUGGCGAAGGCGGCUCACUGGCCCGGUACUGACGCUGAGGCGCGAAAGCGUGGGGAGCAAACGGG